GGCUUGACUCAAGUUCAUCUGUGAAUCCUGUGAAAACUCUUUUUCAGUGUUCACUCUUACUAUGGCUAGAGAUUUUCUGAACUCAGUCUUACGAAUAGCAUAGGACUUAUCCUUUUCUUCCAAGAUCGAUAGAUUCUAUCUAGGUGCAUCCUAUUCCAAACAGCGAAUCUGAACCUAAAAUAGCCAAUAUAUACAGUAAGGACCCGAAUGGUUAUGGACCAAACCAAUAUACAGUCAAACUAAGUAGCCUCACUGUGAAUAGCAACACACCAUAGGUCAAAGGACCAGUCACACCACUGC
RNAcentral lists this long non-coding RNA (300 nucleotides) under Elaeis guineensis (African oil palm). RNAcentral's name for it is "long non-coding RNA (EGUI_LNC070974)". Lineage: Eukaryota; Viridiplantae; Streptophyta; Magnoliopsida; Arecales; Arecaceae. The record is from RNAcentral.